RNAcentral lists this microRNA precursor (60 nucleotides) under Bos taurus (domestic cattle). RNAcentral describes it as "Bta-Mir-3432_pre stem-loop". The record is from RNAcentral. Lineage: Eukaryota; Metazoa; Chordata; Mammalia; Artiodactyla; Bovidae.
UGCGGGAUCUUUAGUUGUGGUGUGUGAAUUCUUAGUUGCAGCAACUAAAGAUCCCUCAGG